GCCUGCUUAGCUCAAUGGACAGAGCCCUGGUCUCCUAAACCGGGAGUGUGCGGGUUCAAAUCCCGCCGCAGGCACCC
RNAcentral lists this transfer RNA (77 nucleotides) under Mycobacteroides chelonae. RNAcentral describes it as "tRNA-Arg". It matches the Rfam family "tRNA". Rfam says of the family: Transfer RNA (tRNA) molecules are approximately 80 nucleotides in length. Their secondary structure includes four short double-helical elements and three loops (D, anti-codon, and T loops). Further hydrogen bonds mediate the characteristic L-shaped molecular structure. tRNAs have two regions of fundamental functional importance: the anti-codon, which is responsible for specific mRNA codon recognition, and the 3' end, to which the tRNAs corresponding amino acid is attached (by aminoacyl-tRNA synthetases). tRNAs cope with the degeneracy of the genetic code in two manners: having more than one tRNA (with a specific anti-codon) for a particular amino acid; and 'wobble' base-pairing, i.e. permitting non-standard base-pairing at the 3rd anti-codon position. Lineage: Bacteria; Bacillati; Actinomycetota; Actinomycetes; Mycobacteriales; Mycobacteriaceae. The record is from RNAcentral.